UCCCAGGGUGUCCCAAGAUGUCCUGGGGAUAUCCUGGAGUGUCCCGGCAUGUCCUGGGUGUGUCCCAGGAUGUCCCAAGGUGUCCUGGGGGUGUCCUGGGGGUGUUUUGGGGUGUUGGGGCGCCCCCCCCCCCCCCCCCCCCCCCCCCCCCCCCCCCCCCCCCCCCCCCCCCCCCCCCCCCCCCCCCCCCCCCCCCCCCCCCCCCCCCCCCCCCCCCCCCCCCCCCCCCCCCCCCCCCCCCCCCCCCCCCCCCCCCCCCCCCCCCCCCCCGCCGCUGCUGGCAGCUGAGCCCUCACCUUUCCCAGGGAUUCGCUGUCAGGGUGAACAGACCCCAGCAUGAGCUGCCAGGGGUGGAAAAAGCCGUAAAAACCGGGGAAAACCCCGAAGUGGGGUUUCCUAAAGGGACCUGGGGACACACCCAGAGCUGGGGACAGCCGCCACCACCAGGACUGGCACUGCCACCCUGGGAAUGUCCCAGAGCAUCCCGGGGAGCUGAUCGCGGGAUGGACCCAGAGCUCACCCCCCGGAGCCCCCACACCCCCCGAAGGCAACCCCAGGUUCGGGAUCUCCAUCCCGGGGGGAGGGGACACCACCCUCCGCAGCCAGGGGACCUGGGGAGGGUGUCCCAGAGUCCCCUGUCCCCGGGUCCAGCCUUGGCCAGCUGCCCUCACAUGCCAGCAAUGCCCACGGGGACCUCCUGCCAUCCUGCCAGGACCUGGCACACCUCGGGAUGGGGAGCAGGAAACGGAGCAACGGGAAAAACGGGAGGAGCUGAGCUGUGCCCCGGCUGGCAGGUCUGGGACACGGGUGACACCACCCUGGCAUUGUCCCCUGGCUGCGGGAAGGUUUGGGACACGGGAGACACCACCCUGGGAACCUCGCCGGGAUUCAAGCCCAGCCUCGCCGGGAUUCAAGCCCAGCCUCGCCGGGAUUCAAGCCCAGCCUCGCCGGGAUUCAAGCCCAGCCUCGCCGGGAUUCAAGCCCAGCCUCGCCGGGAUUCAAGCCCAGCCUCGCCGGGAUUCAAGCCCAGCCUCGCCGGGAUUCAAGCCCAGCCUCGCCGGGAUUCAAGCCCAGCCUCGCCGGGAUUCAAGCCCAGCCUCGCCGGGAUUCAAGCCCAGCCUCGCCGGGAUUCAAGCCCAGCCUCGCCGGGAUUCAAGCCCAGCCUCGCCGGGAUUCAAGCCCAGCCUCGCCGGGAUUCAAGCCCAGCCUCGCCGGGAUUCAAGCCCAGCCUCGCCGGGAUUCAAGCCCAGCCUCGCCGGGAUUCAAGCCCAGCCUCGCCGGGAUUCAAGCCCAGCCUCGCCGGGAUUCAAGCCCAGCCUCGCCGGGAUUCAAGCCCAGCCUCGCCGGGAUUCAAGCCCAGCCUCGCCGGGAUUCAAGCCCAGCCUCGCCGGGAUUCAAGCCCAGCCUCGCCGGGAUUCAAGCCCAGCCUCGCCGGGAUUCAAGCCCAGCCUCGCCGGGAUUCAAGCCCAGCCUCGCCGGGAUUCAAGCCCAGCCUCGCCGGGAUUCAAGCCCAGCCUCGCCGGGAUUCAAGCCCAGCCUCGCCGGGAUUCAAGCCCAGCCUCGCCGGGAUUCAAGCCCAGCCUCGCCGGGAUUCAAGCCCAGCCUCGCCGGGAUUCAAGCCCAGCCUCGCCGGGAUUCAAGCCCAGCCUCGCCGGGAUUCAAGCCCAGCCUCGCCGGGAUUCAAGCCCAGCCUCGCCGGGAUUCAAGCCCAGCCUCGCCGGGAUUCAAGCCCAGCCUCGCCGGGAUUCAAGCCCAGCCUCGCCGGGAUUCAAGCCCAGCCUCGCCGGGAUUCAAGCCCAGCCUCGCCGGGAUUCAAGCCCAGCCUCGCCGGGAUUCAAGCCCAGCCUCGCCGGGAUUCAAGCCCAGCCUCGCCGGGAUUCAAGCCCAGCCUCGCCGGGAUUCAAGCCCAGCCUCGCCGGGAUUCAAGCCCAGCCUCGCCGGGAUUCAAGCCCAGCCUCGCCGGGAUUCAAGCCCAGCCUCGCCGGGAUUCAAGCCCAGCCUCGCCGGGAUUCAAGCCCAGCCUCGCCGGGAUUCAAGCCCAGCCUCGCCGGGAUUCAAGCCCAGCCUCGCCGGGAUUCAACCCCAGCUUCGCCGGGAUUCAAGCCCAGCCUCGCCGGGAUUUCGGAACUUGGGCUGGGUCCGGCUGGGAUCGGCGUGGCCUGGGCAGCCCAAGGGUUUGGGACCACAGGGCCACCGCCGCGAGCUCAUCGUGCAGAGCCCUCGUCCUGCUGGUCGCCAGGCUGGGGACAGCAGGUCCUGAUUGUCCCGGGGGAGAUGUGGGGACGAGCCCCAGGGUCUCCAGGGCCACCUCCCCACCCCAGAGCUGCAGGGAGCACCCUGCUCUGCUGGGUUUGGAACGGGGUGAGAUUCCAGCUCCUUCCAGCCCAAACCAUCCCACCGUUCUGCGCUUCCAGAGGCGGCUGGGGAGGGGAGCUGAGCCCAGGACGCGCUGGCUCUGCCCAGCUCCCACCAGGGGCCACGACAUUUGGAGUGGCACUGGGACAAAAUUCGGGAGCAAGCACGGCUGCCAGAGGCUCCCAGAGGUGACCCCAGGGACGUUUCAUUGCUCAGCACAAACCCUGCCGAGCUGCCUGAGCCCCGUUCUGCUGCCACACGAAGCCAAACAAGUCUGA
Molecule: long non-coding RNA, 2633 nt
Filed under: Ficedula albicollis (Collared flycatcher)
Lineage: Eukaryota; Metazoa; Chordata; Aves; Passeriformes; Muscicapidae
Description: lncRNA (ENSFALG00000027298.1)
Source: RNAcentral